AGAGAUAUGUAAUUAGUCAAUUUUAUAAUAAGAGAAAAAUUUUAUUUAUAUGUUAUGUUUGAACUAAAUAAAUUGUGGUGGAAAAUAUAAUUUGUUCAUAGUUUAGUCAUUUGCAAAUAUGAACUAAAUAAAUUGUGAUAUAUAGAGAUGGUUGUUGCUGCUAGAGGUAGUGGCGAUGGUGGGGACUUUUCAAAAGAAGAAGAAAAGUGGAUCAAGUAUUCCAUAGUUCAAAAUACAAUCCAACCAAUCGAUUGCCCCGCUUCAGGUGUUUUCGGAGUUUGAUAAGAACAUGCUUCCAUUCACCAAAGAUACAGAUCUUACCGCAACUCAACUUCGAGGGGAGGAUCACAUCCCAAAGUAUCCUGGGGCUGGUAAUUGAAAAUUUGAGUUAGGGAAACAGCUUGUGUGGCCGCAGUUGGUAGACCAUCUUCCAACAAAAAUGUACAAAUUGCACCAAUAGUACAUGGAGGUUUCAGCCACCAGUUUACUCCUGCUAGAAGUUCGGAUUGGAGAUCAGCAUUAUUUCCGUGGUGAUGCCAUUAUAAAUGUGCCACUUGAGGAACUUUAUUUCCUUUACAAUCAAGACACACUUGACAAAUCACUCAUCAGUUCCUGGGUUAUGAUGAAGAUUUCAAGCUUGCCGGAGGAUAGAAUUGUAUGAUGUUGGCUUCAUGGAUCCGAAUGUUAUAAACGAGGCAAAUGUAAGAGAUAAACCAAAUCGGACCUUAAAGAAUAUCUAUAAUUUCUUGGACAAACAACGUUACAAGAAGUACAUACUUCUGCCGUACAACUUCAAACACUUGUUAUCGUGGUUGAUCGAAGCAUGAUCUAUAUCCUAGACUCUGUGAGGAGAUCAAGAAAUCAAUACACCAACCUCAUAAACGUGCUUAACAGAGCAUGUGCUCGCUUCCAUCAACAUCACUCAGGUGAAUACAAGGAGCAACUUCAUAUCCAUUCUGAAUUCCCGAAUCCGGGAAAUAAUUUAUACGGAUACUACGUAUGUGAGUUCAUCCAUGGCUUUUUACGUCCUAAGCGUAUAACUGACCAUAAAUUCAGAAUUAUGCACAUGAAGGAAAAACUCCUCGAGAUGGAAAAAUCAGGGCAAUUCAAG
Long non-coding RNA from Setaria italica (foxtail millet), 1111 nucleotides. RefSeq lists it as uncharacterized. The transcript has 5 exons. The record is from RefSeq and is a predicted model, not a curated record. NCBI's taxonomy places the organism in Eukaryota, Viridiplantae, Streptophyta, Magnoliopsida, Poales, Poaceae.